Molecule: long non-coding RNA, 148 nt
Filed under: Suricata suricatta (meerkat)
Lineage: Eukaryota; Metazoa; Chordata; Mammalia; Carnivora; Herpestidae
Description: lncRNA (ENSSSUG00005021933.1)
Source: RNAcentral
AGACCGGCACCUGUCCCAGGAACUCAGGAACCAGCUCCACGUCCCCCCCCAGAGGGGGGGGCCCUCCUGACCCCCGGCUCUCCAUGGAGGAGGUGGUCCAACCUGGAAUGGUCUCCGCUUGCUCGAGCGUCGUGUCCUCUGUCCUCUG